CCCCCGCCGCAAGUGGAUAAUAUUAAUAGUGUAAAAAUAUGCAAGUGUUCGGUAAACAGGAAGUUGUCAAGUGAUGAAUCUGAAAACGCAUCACACGGUAUAGCUGACUUAUAUAAAUCCUGAAACCAAAUUUCAGAAAUCCUUGUAUUGUAGUUCCUGAGAAAAAUGUGACGAAAAUUUUCAACUUGGCUAUCAGUGUAAAAUCAUACAAGUGUUCGGUAAACAGGAAGUUGUCGAAUGAUGAAUCUGAAAACGCAUCACACGGUAUAGCUGACUUAUAUAAAUCCUGAAACCAAAUUUCAGAAAUCCUUGUAUUGUAGUUGCUGAGAAAAAUGUGACGAAAAUUUUCAACUUGGCUAUCAUGUGUAAAAUCAUACAAGUGUUCGGUAAACAGGAAGUUGUCAAGUGAUGAAUCUGAAAACGCAUCACACGGUAUGGCUAACAUAUAUAAAUGUUGAUACCAAAUUACAGAAAGGGUGGAUGUGUAGUUCCUGAGAAAAAUGUGACGAAAAUUUUCAACUUGGCUAUCAUGUGUAAAAUCAUACAAGUGUUCGGUAAAUAGGAAGUUGUCAAGUGAUGAAUCUGAAAACGCAUCACACGGUAUGGCUAACAUAUAUAAAUGUUGAUACCAAAUUAAAGAAAGGGUGGAUGUGUAGUUCCUGAGAAAAAUGUGACGAAAGUUUCAUGGGACGGACUGACUGACGGACUGACGGACGGACUGACGGACUGACAGACAGAGGUAAAACAGUAUACCCCCCUUUUUUAAAGCGGGGGUAUAAAAAUGU
Molecule: long non-coding RNA, 785 nt
Filed under: Mytilus galloprovincialis (Mediterranean mussel)
Lineage: Eukaryota; Metazoa; Mollusca; Bivalvia; Mytilida; Mytilidae
Source: RNAcentral